This 94-nucleotide microRNA precursor is filed under the name Paramuricea clavata. Lineage: Eukaryota; Metazoa; Cnidaria; Anthozoa; Malacalcyonacea; Plexauridae. The record is from RNAcentral.
CAAAAAACCACAACAGUCUGUUUCAUCCGUAUAGGAAUCAUCAGGUGGUCUGACCACCUGAUGAUUCCUAUACGGAUGAAACAGACUGUUGUAU